RNAcentral lists this transfer RNA (63 nucleotides) under Potamotrygonocestus sp. MZUSP 7996. Its description in RNAcentral is "tRNA-Thr". It matches the Rfam family "tRNA". From Rfam's summary of the family: Transfer RNA (tRNA) molecules are approximately 80 nucleotides in length. The record is from RNAcentral. Lineage: Eukaryota; Metazoa; Platyhelminthes; Cestoda; Tetraphyllidea; Onchobothriidae.
GGUUAUUUAGUUUAUUAAAAAUACAGGUUUUGUAAUCCUGAGAUAAUAUUUUAUUAUUAACCU